Molecule: ribosomal RNA, 433 nt
Filed under: uncultured bacterium
Lineage: Bacteria
Description: partial 16S ribosomal RNA
Rfam family: Bacterial small subunit ribosomal RNA
Source: RNAcentral
AAAGAAAGAGGGAGGCAUGCCUAACACAUGCAAGUCGAACGAGACCUUCGGGUCUAGUGGCGCACGGGUGCGUAACGCGUGGGAACCUGCCCUUAGGUUCGGAAUAACUCCCCGAAAGGGGUGCUAAUACCGGAUAAUGUCUUCGGACCAAAGAUUUAUCGCCUUUGGAUGUUCCCUCUUUUGAUUAGCUAUUUGGUAGGGUAAAAGCCUACCAAGGCGACGAUCCAUAGCUGGUCUGAGAGGAUGAUCAGCCACACUGGGACUGAGACACGGCCCAGACUAAUAAGGGAGGCAGAAGUGGGGAAUAUUGGAAAAUGGGAGAAAGAAUGAUACAGAAAUGCCGCGUGAGUGAUGAAGGCCUUAGGGUUGUAAAGAUAUUUUAAAAGGGAUGAUAAUGAAAGUAAAGGGAGAAUAAGAUAAGGAUAAAUAAGUG